This 564-nucleotide ribosomal RNA is filed under the name uncultured bacterium. RNAcentral's name for it is "partial 16S ribosomal RNA". It matches the Rfam family "Bacterial small subunit ribosomal RNA", at positions 355 to 912 of the family's 1533-position model. The record is from RNAcentral.
UGGGGAAUUUUGGACAAUGGGGGAAACCCUGAUCCAGCCAUCCCGCGUGUGCGAUGAAGGCCUUCGGGUUGUAAAGCACUUUUGGCAGGAAAGAAACGUCGCGGGUUAAUACCCCGCGAAACUGACGGUACCUGCAGGAUAAGCACCGGCUAACUACGUGCCAGCAGCCGCGGUAAUACGUAGGGUGCAAGCGUUAAUCGGAAUUACUGGGCGUAAAGCGUGCGCAGGCGGUUCGGAAAGAAAGAUGUGAAAUCCCAGAGCUUAACUUUGGAACUGCAUUUUUAACUACCGGGCUAGAGUGUGUCAGAGGGAGGUGGAAUUCCGCGUGUAGCAGUGAAAUGCGUAGAUAUGCGGAGGAACACCGAUGGCGAAGGCAGCCUCCUGGGAUAACACUGACGCUCAUGCACGAAAGCGUGGGGAGCAAACAGGAUUAGAUACCCUGGUAGUCCACGCCCUAAACGAUGUCAACUAGCUGUUGGGGCCUUCGGGCCUUGGUAGCGCAGCUAACGCGUGAAGUUGACCGCCUGGGGAGUACGGUCGCAAGAUUAAAACUCAAAGGAAUUG